UGGGGAAUUUUGGACAAUGGGGGAAACCCUGAUCCAGCCAUCCCGCGUGUGCGAUGAAGGCCUUCGGGUUGUAAAGCACUUUUGGCAGGAAAGAAACGUCAUGGGUUAAUACCCCGUGAAACUGACGGUACCUGCAGAAUAAGCACCGGCUAACUACGUGCCAGCAGCCGCGGUAAUACGGAGGGUGCAAGCGUUAAUCGGAAUUACUGGGCGUAAAGCGUGCGCAGGCGGUUCGGAAAGAAAGAUGUGAAAUCCCAGAGCUCAACUUUGGAACUGCAUUUUUAACUACCGGGCUAGAGUGUGUCAGAGGGAGGUGGAAUUCCGCGUGUAGCAGUGAAAUGCGUAGAUAUGCGGAGGAACACCGAUGGCGAAGGCAGCCUCCUGGGAUAACACUGACGCUCAUGCACGAAAGCGUGGGGAGCAAACAGG
RNAcentral lists this ribosomal RNA (429 nucleotides) under Acidobacteriota bacterium. Its description in RNAcentral is "Acidobacteria bacterium partial 16S ribosomal RNA". It matches the Rfam family "Bacterial small subunit ribosomal RNA", at positions 355 to 776 of the family's 1533-position model. The record is from RNAcentral. Lineage: Bacteria; Pseudomonadati; Acidobacteriota.